RNAcentral lists this ribosomal RNA (835 nucleotides) under Salmonella enterica. RNAcentral's name for it is "bacterial LSU rRNA". It matches the Rfam family "Bacterial large subunit ribosomal RNA", at positions 711 to 1547 of the family's 2925-position model. Lineage: Bacteria; Pseudomonadati; Pseudomonadota; Gammaproteobacteria; Enterobacterales; Enterobacteriaceae. RNAcentral also lists the same sequence under 3 other names. The record is from RNAcentral.
AGACCCGAAACCCGGUGAUCUAGCCAUGGGCAGGUUGAAGGUUGGGUAACACUAACUGGAGGACCGAACCGACUAAUGUUGAAAAAUUAGCGGAUGACCUGUGGCUGGGGGUGAAAGGCCAAUCAAACCGGGAGAUAGCUGGUUCUCCCCGAAAGCUAUUUAGGUAGCGCCUCGUGAAUUCAUCUCCGGGGGUAGAGCACUGUUUCGGCUAGGGGGCCAUCCCGGCUUACCAACCCGAUGCAAACUGCGAAUACCGGAGAAUGUUAUCACGGGAGACACACGGCGGGUGCUAACGUCCGUCGUGAAGAGGGAAACAACCCAGACCGCCAGCUAAGGUCCCAAAGUCAUAGUUAAGUGGGAAACGAUGUGGGAAGGCCCAGACAGCCAGGAUGUUGGCUUAGAAGCAGCCAUCAUUUAAAGAAAGCGUAAUAGCUCACUGGUCGAGUCGGCCUGCGCGGAAGAUGUAACGGGGCUAAACUAUGCACCGAAGCUGCGGCAGCGACACUAUGUGUUGUUGGGUAGGGGAGCGUUCUGUAAGCCUGUGAAGGUGUGUCGUGAGGCAUGCUGGAGGUAUCAGAAGUGCGAAUGCUGACAUAAGUAACGAUAAAGCGGGUGAAAAGCCCGCUCGCCGGAAGACCAAGGGUUCCUGUCCAACGUUAAUCGGGGCAGGGUGAGUCGACCCCUAAGGCGAGGCCGAAAGGCGUAGUCGAUGGGAAACGGGUUAAUAUUCCCGUACUUGGUGUUACUGCGAAGGGGGGACGGAGAAGGCUAUGUUGGCCGGGCGACGGUUGUCCCGGUUUAAGCGUGUAGGUGUGUGUUCCAGGUAAAUCCGGUU